GAGGGUGUAGCUCAGCAGUAGAGUGCAUGCCUAGUAUGCACAAGGUCCUGGGUUCAAUCCCCAGUACCUCCA
RNAcentral lists this transfer RNA (72 nucleotides) under Camelus bactrianus (Bactrian camel). It matches the Rfam family "tRNA". From Rfam's summary of the family: Transfer RNA (tRNA) molecules are approximately 80 nucleotides in length. Their secondary structure includes four short double-helical elements and three loops (D, anti-codon, and T loops). Further hydrogen bonds mediate the characteristic L-shaped molecular structure. tRNAs have two regions of fundamental functional importance: the anti-codon, which is responsible for specific mRNA codon recognition, and the 3' end, to which the tRNAs corresponding amino acid is attached (by aminoacyl-tRNA synthetases). tRNAs cope with the degeneracy of the genetic code in two manners: having more than one tRNA (with a specific anti-codon) for a particular amino acid; and 'wobble' base-pairing, i.e. permitting non-standard base-pairing at the 3rd anti-codon position. RNAcentral also lists the same sequence under 3 other names. Lineage: Eukaryota; Metazoa; Chordata; Mammalia; Artiodactyla; Camelidae. The record is from Rfam by way of RNAcentral.